This is a non-coding RNA of Callorhinus ursinus (northern fur seal), 957 nucleotides long. The record is from RefSeq and is a predicted model, not a curated record. NCBI's taxonomy places the organism in Eukaryota, Metazoa, Chordata, Mammalia, Carnivora, Otariidae.
AGCCCGGAGGCUCGCGGUGGCAAGUCGGAAGCGUUCGCACCAGCGAGGCAGCGGCCGGGCGGCGGCGGCGGCCGCGGGCAGGACGGAGCGGGCAGGGCGGCCAGGAGAGGCAGCGUCCCUCCGCGCACGGCGAGCCGGCGGGAGAGCGCGAUCCCGCUGCGGAGCCCCGACGCUGCCCUGCCCCGGAUUUCAGUGCGCGGCGUGGGGCUCGGCGAGCGGAAUUCCGGCGGCGGCCGCGACUCCGGUGCAAGGUGAGGGAGCAUGAACGGCCUUGAAUGCGCCCCUGGGCAUAUUUAGCCAUUCGCUUUUCAUUAGGAGAAAGAAGACGGCCAUCCGCUUGAGAGGCAAAGCUCCAGUGACCAAAGAGCUAUAGAUCUUCUGAAUUUUGAGAGCAGUGAAAUAGGAGCAUAGCAGAGAGCGUAUGAAAGACAGCACGUUGGAAGGAAGAUUGAUGCAGACAAAAGCAACAUGAUUCAGGGACAUCACUGAGAUCUUUGGGGACUGCACAGAAGCGUCUGGUUGGGAACGUCAUGAAGGAAGGGGCAAGACCCUGCCCAAGGAAGCGUACGUGAGAAUAACGGAGAAGGAGCCCGUCGAUAUACGCAGUACAGCCGCUGUUGGAGUAGAUGCCCGCUGAGUACUUGGCAUUGCACACCAGAAGAAUUAGCCCUGAUGGAAAUGAUUCAUUCCCUCUUUCAAGAAUUAAUCAUCAACAAAGGAAACACAGAGCUGCUGUCCAGAAUGGUCACAAGUGCACAGUUAGAGGUUUCUGCGUGCACGUUAGUAAAGGCCUGGAAACUGAGUUCUGGAAGGAUUCAGUAACGGACAAACACCACUCCGCGGGUACACAGCAGAGGUGUCGUUCAAGCCUGUCUGUCCAGCCCGAGUCAAACCUCCUCCACUGUUCAUGGUUUUUUGAAAGUCUUCCACGCCAAGUGACCAGCCUAGAGGGCUCUU